UCAGGCCUAACACAUGCAAGUCAAACGACAAAUUUUUUUGUAGUGGCGGACGGGUGAGUAACACGUAAGAACCUGCCUUUAGGAGGGGGAUACCAUCUGGAAACUGGUGCUAAUACCCCAUAUGCUGAGAAGUGAAAAGGUAUUUAACCGCCUAGAGAGGGGCUUGCGGCUGAUUAGCUAGUUGGUAGGGUAAUGGCCUCCCAAGGCGACGAUCAGUAGCUGGUUUGAGAGGAUGAUCAGCCACACUGGGACUGAGACACGGCCCAGACUCCUACGGGAGGCAGCAGUGAGGAAUUUUCCGCAAAGGGCGAAAGCCUGACGGAGCAAUACCGCGGGAGGUAUGAGGGGACCUGUGGGUUGUAAACUCCUUUCUCAGAGAAGAA
Molecule: ribosomal RNA, 383 nt
Filed under: uncultured bacterium
Lineage: Bacteria
Description: bacterial SSU rRNA
Rfam family: Bacterial small subunit ribosomal RNA
Source: RNAcentral